Molecule: long non-coding RNA, 981 nt
Filed under: Capsicum annuum
Lineage: Eukaryota; Viridiplantae; Streptophyta; Magnoliopsida; Solanales; Solanaceae
Description: long non-coding RNA (CANN_LNC013046)
Source: RNAcentral
UGGCAGACAUUGGAUGCUUGCUGGUGAUAUUAAUGAUUCCAAGGUAACACAAGGAGACUGAGAUAAAAGGGUUAUGGGGAGACUGGCUUAGGUUUAAUCCAAACAAAGGAUAAUGUUAAUGGCUCUCUUCAUUUUGGGUAAAUAUGAUUAAGUUAGGGUUUGCUAAAGACGACUUUAGGUGAAAAUUAUCUUAUAUUAAUAUAUACUUAUUAUUACAUUGGGUUGGGCAGUAGUUGUGUCGUUUUGACAAUGGAAAGAUACGUAUGUUAACAUACGUACGUACUUAAUUACAAAAAAAUAGCAACAUUUUUCUCUAAUUACAUUCUAUUAUAUAUGUAGCAUUAUUUUAAGUGGUCUCUAUUUUUUUAUCGCCUAAAUUUUUUAUUGUGAUAAAUCGCCCUUUUCACUCCUCCUUCUUUAUCUUUCCUUAAUUUAAAUUUCUUUUUCCUAUUUUUCCGCCAUUAACCAUCACUCUCUCCUCAAUCUUAUUACAUUUUGCACGAUUCUUGCACGAUCUUUGAUAAGGAUUUGCUUUCCAUAUUUCAGGUAAUUAUUAAUGGGCAAAAUCGCAUUUUGCAUGUGAGCGUUUUUUUUUUUCCUACUUUAAUUCAUCGAAAAUUUAAUUUUCAAGGGUUUUGUAUUUUAAUGGAUGAACACACUGCAAAAACACCUAUAAACAGGGGUACAAGGAAUAUGAAAUUAGUGUAUGAUGCACCAUCUUUUAGUCUUGGGUUAACUCAAGAAGAUUUAGUUACUGUUGUUUCAAAUCCUUUACAGUUGAAGAAAUCUGGUAGAUUGAAAGAUAUUAGGUCGAAGUUUCGGAACGACGAAGUGAAGAUGAUGCCAAUUUUUAAAAAAAGGGUUGAAGAAAACUCCUUCUCCAAAGGAGCAAAAAACUAAAAAACGGUACGAGAAGAAAAGGAAAUCUAAAGAAAUUGAAGACGAUGUUGACAAAUCUUAUGAUGAAUCUGAAGAAGAAGU